UGAGGAAUAUUGGUCAAUGGGCGGGAGCCUGAACCAGCCAAGUCGCGUGAGUGAAGACGGUCCUAUGGAUUGUAAACCUCUUUUGUCGGGGAGCAAAGAGGCCACGUGUGGUCAAAAGCGAGAGUACCCGAAGAAAAGCAUCGGCUAACUCCGUGCC
This 157-nucleotide ribosomal RNA is filed under the name uncultured bacterium. Its description in RNAcentral is "partial 16S ribosomal RNA". It matches the Rfam family "Bacterial small subunit ribosomal RNA", at positions 355 to 509 of the family's 1533-position model. The record is from RNAcentral.